UAGAUGGGAAAGUCCCCUAAGCGAUGCAGUC
This 31-nucleotide non-coding RNA is filed under the name Homo sapiens (human). Lineage: Eukaryota; Metazoa; Chordata; Mammalia; Primates; Hominidae. The record is from RNAcentral.